CAUUCAGACCUGGGAGUAGGCUCUGGAGAAGGGUUGGGUGGUCUUGGGAUGUUUCCAGGUGUGCUCUAUCCUUUUCAGAGACUGCAUGACCUGGUCCUCCCCCUGGUCAUGGGUGUACAGCAGGGUGAGGUCCUAGGCAGCUCCCCGUACACGAGCUCCCGCUGCCGCCGUGAACUCUACUGCCUGCUGCUGGCACUGCUGCUGGCCCCUUCUCCUCGCUGCCCACCUCCUCUUGCCUGUGCCCUGCAAGCCUUCUCCCUCGGCCAGCGAGAAGAUAGCCUUGAGGUCUCCUCUUUCUGCUCAGAAGCACUGGUGACCUGUGCUGCUCUGACCCACCCCCGGGUUCCUCCCCUGCAGCCCAUGGGCCCCACCGGCCCCACACCUGCCCCAGCUCCCCCUCCUGAGGCCCCAUCGCCCUUCAGGGCCCCACCCUUCCAUCCUCCGGGCCCCAUGCCCUCAGCAGGCCCCAUGCCCUCAGCAGGCCCCAUGCCCUCAGCAGGCCCUGUGCCCUCGGCACGCCCUGGACCUCCCACCACAGCCAACCACCUAGGCCUU
Molecule: small RNA, 555 nt
Filed under: Pongo abelii (Sumatran orangutan)
Lineage: Eukaryota; Metazoa; Chordata; Mammalia; Primates; Hominidae
Description: retained intron
Source: RNAcentral